AUUCCAGCUCCAAUAGCGUAUAUUAAAAUUGUUGCCGUUAAAAAGCUCGUAGUCGAACUUCGGGCUCUGUCAGCCGGUCCGCCUUCUUGGUGUGUACUUGUUUGACGGAGCCUUACCUCCUGGUGAACGGCGAUGUCCUUUACUGGGUGUCGUCGCAAACCAGGACUUUUACUUUGAAAAAAUUAGAGUGUUCAAAGCAGGCCUUUGCCCGAAUACAUUAGCAUGGAAUAAUAAAAUAGGACGCGCGUUCCCAUUUUGUUGGUUUCUGAGAUCGCCGUAAUGAUUAAUAGGGAUAGUUGGGGGCAUCUGUAUUCCGUCGUCAGAGGUGAAAUUCUUGGAUUGCCGGAAGACAAACUACUGCGAAAGCAUUUGCCAAGGAUGUUUUCAUUG
RNAcentral lists this ribosomal RNA (390 nucleotides) under Rhodotorula sp. Its description in RNAcentral is "partial small subunit ribosomal RNA". It matches the Rfam family "Eukaryotic small subunit ribosomal RNA", at positions 582 to 975 of the family's 1831-position model. The record is from RNAcentral. Lineage: Eukaryota; Fungi; Basidiomycota; Microbotryomycetes; Sporidiobolales; Sporidiobolaceae.